This is a long non-coding RNA of Xiphophorus hellerii (green swordtail), 821 nucleotides long. RefSeq lists it as uncharacterized. The record is from RefSeq and is a predicted model, not a curated record. Lineage: Eukaryota; Metazoa; Chordata; Actinopteri; Cyprinodontiformes; Poeciliidae. The transcript has 3 exons.
UUUGUUGCAGAGGAAGUGUGUGUGUGUGUGUGUGUGGGUGUGUGCGUGUGUGUAACUUAUCUUAAAUGUCUCCUUUCUCUUCUCUCUCUCCCUCCUGCUGUCGGCGUCGCUGCAGUGAAAUCCUCCCAGUCUCUCUCCUCCGGCUCCCUGUCAGUCCAACUGGUUCUGGUCUUGGAUCUUUGUCUGGUCCAGAUCGUCCCUCAGUCAAUGUCCAUGUUGUCCACAGAUGAAACAAGCAUCACCAGUUCAGAGUGGUGUCUUCUCCUCUCACAGCUUUGAAUCAUGUUUAUCUUUUCUUUCUCUGCGCUGAUACUGGACAGCAGACCAGCGGAGGUUGUUAAAGCUCAGUCACACACAGUUUCAGUCCAAAUGUCCAACAGGAGACCUGACAGUCGUCCCCUGAAUGGAAAUGUUUCAUCAGUUCUCUGGUGUCAAAAAUAAAAAUCAGGAUCAACAGACACUUCAGUGGCUGGAGGUGAUGAAGGUUUUCUUCAUCUUCCUGAUCUUCUUGAUCCACUGGAUCCACUGGAUCUCUUUCAUCAGCUGGUGGUGUGAGAGGGACAUCAUCUGGUCCAUGGGAGGACAGGGUUGAGGAGUUGAGGUCAGAGGUCAGAUGCACCGCAGCAAGGCUCAGACAGAGGAAAAAAAGAAGCAAAUAGAAAUCGAUUUGGUUUAUUUUGUUUUAGUCACUUAUUAUUCAUCCUUUUAAGGAAUAAAAUCAUUUGCUUAUUCAAACACACAAAAACAUAAAACAUAUUAAGGCCUGUAAUUUAUUGACAAAAGAUUUAUGUUCAGUAAUAGAAGCAUUUCCAUUUGUUUAU